GACGAACGCUGGCGGCGUGCUUAACACAUGCAAGUCGAACGGUAAGGCCCUUCGGGGUACGCGAGUGGCGAACGGGUGAGUAACACGUGGGUGAUCUGCCCUGCACUUCGGGAUAAGCCUGGGAAACUGGGUCUAAUACCGGAUAGGACCACUGCCUGCAUGGGUGGUGGUGGAAAGCUUUUGCGGUGUGGGAUGGGCCCGCGGCCUAUCAGCUUGUUGGUGGGGGGAUGGCCUACCAAGGCGAGGACGGGUAGCCGGCCUGAGAGGGUGACCGGCCACACUGGGACUGAGGUACGGCCCAGACGCCUACGGGAGGCAGCAGUGGGGAAUAUUGCACAAUGGGCGCAAGCCUGAUGCAGCGACGCCGCGUGAGGGAUGACGGCCUUCGGGUUGUAAACCUCUUUCAGCACCGACGAAGCGCAAGUGACGGUAGGUGCAGAAGAAGGACCGGCCAACUACGUGCCAGCCGCCGCGGUAA
Molecule: ribosomal RNA, 478 nt
Filed under: uncultured bacterium
Lineage: Bacteria
Description: partial 16S ribosomal RNA
Rfam family: Bacterial small subunit ribosomal RNA
Source: RNAcentral